ACUCCUACGGGGGGCAGCAGGUGGGGAAUAUUGCACACUGGGCGAAAGCUGAUGCGAGCGACGCCGCGUGCGGGACUGACGGCCUUCGGGUUGUAAACCGCUUUCGCCAGGGUCGAAGCUUUGUGUGACGGUAGCCUGGNNGAGNAGCACCGGCUAACUACGUGCCAGCAGCCGCGGUAAUACGUAGGGUGCGAGCGUUGUCCGGAAUUAUUGGGCGUAAAGAGCUUGUAGGCGGUUUGUCGCGUCUGCUGUGAAAGCCCGGGGCUUAACUCCGGGUCUGCAGUGGGUACGGGCAGACUAGAGUGUGGUAGGGGAGACUGGAAUUCCUGGUGUAGCGGUGAAAUGCGNANAUAUCAGGAGGAACACCGNUGNNGNAGGCAGGUCUCUGGGCCAUAACUAGCGCUGAGAAGCGAAAGCAUGGGGGAGCGAACAGGAUUAGAUACCCUGGUAGUCCAUGCCGUAAACGUUGGGCGCUAGGUGUGGGGCUCAUUCCACGAGUUCCGUGCCGUAGCUAACGCAUUAAGCGCCCCGCCUGGGGAGUACGGCCGCAAGGCUAAAACUCAAAGGAAUUGACGGGGGCCCGCACAAGCGGCGGAGCAUGCGGAUUAAUUCGAUGCAACGCGAAGAACCUUACCAAGGCUUGACAUACACUGGAUCGCUGCAGAGAUGUGGUUUCCUUUUGGGCUGGUGUACAGGUGGUGCAUGGUUGUCGUCAGCUCGUGUCGUGAGAUGUUGGGUUAAGUCCCGCAACGAGCGCAACCCUCGUUCCAUGUUGCCAGCACGUGAUGGUGGGGACUCAUGGGAGACUGCCGGGGUCAACUCGGAGGAAGGUGGGGAUGACGUCAAAUCAUCAUGCCCCUUAUGUCUUGGGCNUCACGCAUGCUACAAUGGCCGGUACAGAGGGUUGCGAGACCGUGAGGUGGAGCGAAUCCCUUAAAACUGGUCUCAGUUCGGAUUGGGGUCUGCAACUCGACCCUAUGAAGUCGGAGUCGCUAGUAAGCGCAGAUCAG
This 1010-nucleotide ribosomal RNA is filed under the name actinomycete symbiont 9 of Acromyrmex octospinosus. RNAcentral's name for it is "bacterial SSU rRNA". It matches the Rfam family "Bacterial small subunit ribosomal RNA", at positions 335 to 1352 of the family's 1533-position model. Lineage: Bacteria; Bacillati; Actinomycetota; Actinomycetes; Actinomycetales. The record is from RNAcentral.